GACGAACGCUGGCGGCGUGCUUAACACAUGCCAGUCGAACGGAAAGGCCCUGCUUGCAGGGUACUCGAGUGGCGAACGGGUGAGUAACACGUGGGUGAUCUGCCCUGCACUUCGGGAUAAGCCUGGGAAACUGGGUCUAAUACCGGAUAGGAGCCAUUUUUAGUGUGAUGGUUGGAAAGUUUUUUCGGUGUAGGAUGAGCUCGCGGCCUAUCAGCUUGUUGGUGGGGUAAUGGCCUACCAAGGCGGCGACGGGUAGCCGGCCUGAGAGGGUGGACGGCCACAGUGGGACUGAGAUACGGCCCAGACUCCUACGGGAGGCAGCAGUGGGGAAUAUUGCACAAUGGGCGCAAGCCUGAUGCAGCGACGCCGCGUGGGGGAGGACGGCCUUCGGGUUGUAAACUCCUUUCGCUAGGGACGAAGCUUUUUGUGACGGUACCUAGAUAAGAAGCACCGGCUAACUACGUG
This 465-nucleotide ribosomal RNA is filed under the name uncultured bacterium. RNAcentral describes it as "partial 16S ribosomal RNA". It matches the Rfam family "Bacterial small subunit ribosomal RNA", at positions 28 to 507 of the family's 1533-position model. The record is from RNAcentral.